GAUCAUGGCUCAGGAUGAACGCUAGCUACAGGCUUAACACAUGCAAGUCGAGGGGCAGCAUAACGAAAGCUUGCUUUGUUGAUGGCGACCGGCGCACGGGUGAGUAACGCGUAUCCAACCUUCCCCUUAGUAGGGCAUAGCCCGUAGAAAUGCGGAUUAAUACCCUAUGUUCUUCGAAGCGGUCAUCCAAUUUGAAGCAAAGAUUCAUCGCUAAGGGAUGGGGAUGCGUCCGAUUAGGUUGUUGGCGGGGUAACGGCCCACCAAGCCAUCGAUCGGUAGGGGUUCUGAGAGGAAGGUCCCCCACAUUGGAACUGAGACACGGUCCAAACUCCUACGGGAGGCAGCAGUGAGGAAUAUUGGUCAAUGGACGAGAGUCUGAACCAGCCAAGUAAGCGUGCAGGACGACGGCCCUAUGGGUUGUAAACUGCUUUUAUACAGGGAUAAAGUCGGGGACGUGUCCCCGUUUGUAGGUACUGUAUGAAUAAGGACCGGCUAAUUCCGUGCCAGCAGCAGC
Molecule: ribosomal RNA, 514 nt
Filed under: uncultured bacterium
Lineage: Bacteria
Description: bacterial SSU rRNA
Rfam family: Bacterial small subunit ribosomal RNA
Source: RNAcentral